Molecule: ribosomal RNA, 1179 nt
Filed under: uncultured fungus
Lineage: Eukaryota; Fungi
Description: eukaryotic LSU rRNA
Rfam family: Eukaryotic large subunit ribosomal RNA (bases 549-1179)
Source: RNAcentral
AGGUUUCUCGUGGGAAACCUAAGUUCCGUAGGUGAACCUGCGGAAGGAUCAUUACCGAGAUUAGGGUUCUUUUAGAGCCUGACCCUCCUACCCUUUGUUUAUGUAUACCUCUGUUGCUUCGGCGGCUCCCCCGUGGCACACGGCGAUGCUAGACAUGUCGAGUCCCGGCCCGCCAGAAGCCCUCUCCAAAUCUAUUUAUUAUCAGCUGUCUGAGCAUACUUGCAAAAUAAAUCAAAACUUUCAACAACGGAUCUCUUGGUUCUGGCAUCGAUGAAGAACGCAGCGAAAUGCGAUAAGUAAUGUGAAUUGCAGAAUUCAGUGAAUCAUCGAAUCUUUGAACACACAUUGCGCCCUCUGGUAUUCCGGGGGGCAUGCCUGUUCGAGCGUCAUUACACCUCUCAAGCUCAGCUUGGUAUUGGGCUGUCGUCCCUGUGGACGGGCCUGAAAAUCAAUGGCGGUGCACCCGGUGCUCAAGCGUAAUACAUAAAUAUCCCGCUUUGGAGUGAGCGGGUGGACCCGCCAGAUAACCCCUUGUAUAUUUCAAUGGUUGACCUCGGAUCAGGUAGGGAUACCCGCUGAACUUAAGCAUAUCAAUAAGCGGAGGAAAAGAAACCAACAGGGAUUGCCUCAGUAACGGCGAGUGAAGCGGCAACAGCUCAAAUUUGAAAUCUGGCUUUCGGGCCCGAGUUGUAAUUUGUAGAGGGAGUUUCGGAAGCGGCGUCGGCCUAAGUUCCUUGGAACAGGGCGUCAUAGAGGGUGAGAAUCCCGUAUGUGGCCGGCGGUCAAUUCCGUGUGAAACCCCUUCGACGAGUCGAGUUGUUUGGGAAUGCAGCUCAAAAUGGGUGGUAAAUUUCAUCUAAAGCUAAAUACCGGCCAGAGACCGAUAGCGCACAAGUAGAGUGAUCGAAAGAUGAAAAGCACUUUGGAAAGAGAGUUAAAAAGUACGUGAAAUUGUUGAAAGGGAAGCGCUUGCAAUCAGACUUGCUCGCGGGUGAUCAACCCCCCUUCGCGGAGGGUGCACUCGCCCGCGAUCAGGCCAGCAUCGGUUUCGACGGGCGGAUAAAGGCUCCAGGAAUGUAGCUCCCCUCGGGGAGUGUUAUAGCCUGGGGUGCCAUGCGCCCCGCCGGGACCGAGGACCGCGCUUUGGCUAGGAUGCUGGCGUAAUGGUUGUAAGCGACC